Molecule: ribosomal RNA, 465 nt
Filed under: uncultured bacterium
Lineage: Bacteria
Description: partial 16S ribosomal RNA
Rfam family: Bacterial small subunit ribosomal RNA
Source: RNAcentral
GACGAACGCUGGCGGCGUGCUUAACACAUGCAAGUCGAACGGAAAGGCCCUGCUUGCAGUGUACUCGAGUGGCGAACGUGUGAGUAACACGUGGGUGAUCUGCCAUGCACUUCGGGAUAAGCCUGGGAAACUGGGUCUACUACCGGAUAGGAGCCAUUUUUCGUGUGAUGGUUGGAAAGUUUUUUCGGUGUAGGAUGAGCUCGCGGCCUAUCAGCUUGUUGGUGGGGUAAUGGCCUACCAAGGCGGCGACGGGUAGCCGGCCUGAGAGGGUGGACGGGCACAUUGGGACUGGGAUACGGCCCAGACUCCUACGGGAGGCAGCAGGGGGGAAGAUGGAAAAAUGGGCGUAAGCCUGAUGCAGAGACGCCGCGGGGGGGAUGACGGCCUUCGGGUUGGAAACGCCUUGCGCUAGGGACGAAGCUUUUUGUGACGGUACCUAGAUAAGAAGCACCGGCUAACUACGUG